This 230-nucleotide long non-coding RNA is filed under the name Lathyrus oleraceus (garden pea). Its description in RNAcentral is "Pisum sativum (pea) long non-coding RNA (PSAT_LNC037423)". The record is from RNAcentral. Lineage: Eukaryota; Viridiplantae; Streptophyta; Magnoliopsida; Fabales; Fabaceae.
UAUAAAACGUUUUACACUGACAAUGUAUAGUAAUUAAUCUCUAAUAAAUAAUAUACAAAAAUUUCUUAUUAAAAUAAAAUUAGCAUUUAAAUUUUCUCACAAUUUAAUAAUUAGGUCGGAUCCAUAAAAUAAAUAAAUAAAAAUUUGUGAUUCACUGAAUAGGUGAAACUAUGUAAAAUAAAAAAAAAUUGUGAUUCACUGAAUAGGUGAAACUAUGUAAAAUAAAAAAA